Molecule: ribosomal RNA, 231 nt
Filed under: uncultured bacterium
Lineage: Bacteria
Description: partial 16S ribosomal RNA
Rfam family: Bacterial small subunit ribosomal RNA
Source: RNAcentral
GAUCAUGGCUCAGGAUGAACGCUAGCGGCAGGCUUAACACAUGCAAGUCGAGGGGCAGCAUAAUGGAUAGCAAUAUCUAUGGUGGCGACCGGCGCACGGGUGCGUAACGCGUAUGCGACCUACCUUUAACAGGGGGAUAAACACUGAGAAAUUGGUACUAAUACCCCAUAAUAUCAUAGAAGGCAUCUUUUANGGUUGAAAAUUCCGAUGGUUAGAGAUGGGCAUGCGUUG